GAACGCGAAGAACCUUACCAAGUCUUGACAUCCUUUGACUACUCUAGAGAUAGAGCUUUCCCUUCGGGGACAAAGUGACAGGUGGUGCAUGGUUGUCGUCAGCUCGUGUCGUGAGAUGUUGGGUUAAGUCCCGCAACGAGCGCAACCCUUAUUACUAGUUGCCAGCAUUGAGUUGGGCACUCUAGUGAGACUGCCGGUGACAAACCGGAGGAAGGUGGGGAUGACGUCAAAUCAUCAUGCCCCUUAUGACUUGGGCUACACACGUGCUACAAUGGAUGGUACAACGAGCAGCGAACUCGCGAGGGUAAGCGAAUCUCUUAAAGCCAUUCUCAGUUCGGAUUGUAGGCUGCAACUCGCCUACAUGAAGCCGGAAUCGCUAGUAAUCGCGGAUCAGCACGCCGCGGUGAAUACGUUCCCGGGUCUUGUACACACC
Molecule: ribosomal RNA, 433 nt
Filed under: uncultured bacterium
Lineage: Bacteria
Description: bacterial SSU rRNA
Rfam family: Bacterial small subunit ribosomal RNA
Source: RNAcentral